ACAGGGCGCUUCGCUUUCCAAGAUGGCCGCCGCCUGGCUGGGGAUGGCGUUCUCGGGGCGCAAGAGGAAGAAAGGCAGGGCGCCGGCCUUCUGGUCCUUGGGAGCCUUGUGGCUGACGUGCCUCGCGGCGCGGAGCGUGGCCAGUGGAGGGGAGCCUCCCUUGAAGUGCGAGGACCUGAGAGUCGGGCAAUAUAUUUGUGAAGAUCCUAAAAUAGACAAUGAGACACAAGAACCCUUGAAGUGUACCAACCACACUGCAUAUGUUCCCUGCCUUCCAGCACCAAAUAUAACAUGUAAGGAUUUUAGUGGAAAUGAAACCAAGUUUACUGGAACAGAAAUCGGGUUUUAUAAGCCUGUAGAAUGUCGAAACGUAAAUGGUUACUCCUAUAAAGUAGCAGUAGCUCUGUCUUUAUUUCUUGGAUGGUUGGGGGCUGAUAGAUUUUAUCUGGGAUAUCCUGCAUUAGGUUUAUUAAAGUUCUGCACAGUCGGGUUUUGUGGAAUUGGUAGUUUGAUUGAUUUCAUUCUGAUUUCAAUGCAGGUAAUCUAGUGAGAUCAUCAAACGAGUCCAAAUACAAUCUAAGUAUAACAAAUUUAUCUAUGAAUCACUCCAAAAAUAUUUGAAAGAGAAUUCCAGACAUGUUAUUUUUGGAAUAAUCAUUUUUUGAGCUCUAAAAAGAGGCAUUGUGUCUUGUUGAGGGUGGGAUAAUGUUUUUCAGGAAUUCUUUGAGGUUUACAUGGUUCAAAAUAGGCUUUUUCCCAUUUAAAUGUAAUAAUUUCUCUUCUAGAUUGUAGGACCUUCAGAUGGCUCUAGUUACAUCAUAGAUUAUUAUGGAGCAAGGCUUACUAGACUGAGUAUUACAAACGAGACAUUCAGAAAACCUCAGAUAUACCCCUAAACAUACCAUAUUUUCUGUUGGGAGAAAAUGAAGAUGAACAUAUGUAUGAAACUGCUAUAGAGCAUUGGCCUGUCAUAUCCAAUAUGGCUACUCUGACAAUAAUUCUCAAGGAAAGUUUGUGUCAUUUAAAGACUUUGUGUAGCGAUCUUGAUGUCAAUAUGGAAUAGUUGCUGUUCACACUCUGAAAGAGUUAUUUGACUUGUAUGCUUGACUUCCUGUGAAGAGGAAUAAAGAAACUACUGUUACAGGCGCUUUGCUAUGCUGCAGGUACCAAAGGGAGUUUAGCUCCAUAUCCUCCAUUUUUAUGUGAGGAAGAUGCCUGAAUCAUAAAGUAUGGAAGUGGACUUCGUUCACAGGAUGUGAUUUGAAGGAGUCACUAGACUUUCUGCACAAGCUGUAACUUGCAGACCACUUCAUCAAACACAAAACAAGUUUGAGCUUUUGUGGCAUGGUUUUAACAUAGCCUCAUUAAGAAGCAGACAAGGACUUGCUUUUUAAAUGUUAAAUAAGAAUAAGCAGUGGACAUUAUUUAUAGUAAAUCUAUUGUGCAAUACUGUAUAGUGGACUUCAUACAAGUUGUACAAAACUGUGAAAAGCAUGUGUGUAAAUAUAAAAGGAAAGGCAGGAAGAAAUGACUUCACAUUCAGCAUCCCUUUCCCUACUGCUCUUUAAAAGCAAGAAAAGAAUUCAAACAAAAAAUGUUGUUUUACAGAUGUACAAAGUUCCAGCUCAUUCGCUUUCUCCCUCUCUUGCAUCAAGUACAUCCUGUACUUUUGGCAACAAGUUGACUGGAUAUUUAAAAGCUGCGAACUGCUCUGAAAGUUUCACAUAGUGGGUUAUGGGCCAUGUGUGUUUGAUCAAAAUUCAAUUACUGCACUGUGCCAGGCUUGGAAACCUAUCAUUGCAAGUUAUGAAGUAUGACGAAAUAAGCUACUCUAAUUGGUUCAGUAUGGAGAGCAGUCUCAACCAAGCUUGUUAUGAUAAAUAGCUUCCUGUGUUAAAGGUUCUCUGGAGCUUAAGUGUCUUGGCUCACCUCCUUCAACAGAAUAAGAAUAUUGUUCCCUAGGAACACUUACAUCACUGUCCCUCUUCCCAAUUCAGAAUUAGAUGUUUGUAGCAUUUUUCAUUUUGCUCUCAUUGAAGGAUAUAAACAGUGGGUAUUGCUAUCAUUUCCCUUGUCUUCCAUGCUGUCACAUCUCCUUCCAGUCAUAAAGUGUCUUGCAUCCCACGGGUACAGAGGUAUAGAGUAUUUUGAUAUUUCAACACAACUACUGUUAUUGACAACUUUACUUUUGUUAGUUAUGCUAUGUUGCCACUUGGGGAAUGGUAAGUGAUAUUUAAAACUGAACCCACUUUUUAAUAUCUAAAAUAAGAGCAGGAAUGCAAAGUGGCACUAGGCCUACCCUAGCGCUUGCUCAGUGUGUAGCUUGAUAGGAUGAACUUGGUUCCAUGCAUGAGAAUGCUGACUUGAUAGUUUUAACAGCUUCUGCUUUUAGAAGAAGAAUAGGCUUAAUAGCUAACAAAGCUAAUGCACAGAAUAAUCUCCACCCAUUUUGUGUGUGUGUACACAUGUGUUUGUAUGUAGGUAAGCAGGCAGAAAGUAAAUCAAGAUGUAUUGAUGGUUCUUCAUGCAAUUUUUAGUAGAUCAGCAAAGGGUUCCAACUCCCAAUGGUUUCUAAAAAGUGAUAAAUCCUCCCCUCUGCCCAGUUAGGGAUAAUGGAAAAAGAGGAAUAGAUUUGUGAGCAGGGAUGUAUGUGCAUAUUACAUGGAGAACAAAAUCUUGAGAGAGAGAGAGAGUGUGUAUCCCGUAUUGGGAGAAAAAUGUAUAAAUUAAAUGAUAAACCAAUAAGGAUAUUAAAUAAAUAAAUGAACAACACCUCAUUUCUUAAAUCUGAGCUGCCCUUUUGUACCUGACUUGUUGAACCAAUGAAAAACCAAGUAGAUCACACAGUUCUCUCAACUGCACAUAUUUGGACAACAGCACUCACUGGUCUGUGAGGGCAGUAUCUCAUGUUCCCCACUGUUUUAGGAGAAGGUUGUGCAAUAUAUAGCGACUGAUACUAUUGCUGAAGGAGCUAAGAAAAUAUGAGCUGUAUUCUUGCUGGGGUUUUUUUUUUUUUUUAAGAACUCUGACUUUCUGGUCACAGAUUAGUUAUAGUAAUAGGUCAUAACAUUUUGCAUACAAUGAUACAGCAUACCAUUGUUAUUAUCCAGUUACAGUACUGUUUUUUUCUUAGCUUUGAUCUUAUCUUAGCUUGCCAUUAUAUUUAAAUGUUCUGUUUAACCUUCUGCUAAAAGAUGUAUGUUAUGCUGAAGUUGGCAUUUCUAGCUUGUAGUAGAUUUGCAGAAAAAGUCUCCCA
Molecule: RNA transcript, 3256 nt
Organism: Sceloporus undulatus (fence lizard)
Lineage: Eukaryota; Metazoa; Chordata; Lepidosauria; Squamata; Phrynosomatidae
Gene: TM2D1
Gene name: TM2 domain containing 1
Exons: 8
Source: RefSeq, a predicted model, not a curated record